CCUUCCUCUCUACACAGGGCAUCCACGUGGACCACACGGCCGAGCUGCGGGGAAUCCGGUGGGCCAGCAGUUUGCAGCGGGAGACCUCGGACUAUCACCGCAUGCUGACGCCCACCCUGGAGGCACUGUUUGUAAGUAGUUUUCAGAAGACAGAGGCAAGCUGCGUGGGUUGCACGGUGCUGAAUUACAGGGAUGGGAACUCCAGUGUCCUCGUACAUUUCCAGCUGCACUUUCUGCUGCGACCCCUCCAGACGCUGAGCCUGGGCCUGGAGGAGGAGCUAUUGCAGCGAGGGAUCCGGGCAAGGCUGCGGGAGCACGGCAUCUCCCUGGCUGCCUAUGGCACAAUUGUGUCGGCCGAGCUCACAGGGAGACAUAAGGGACCCUUGGCAGAAAGAGACUUAAAAUCAGGCCCCUGUCCAGGGAACUCCUUUUCCUGCCAGAACAGCCAGUGUGUGACCAAGGUGAACCCGGAGUGUGACGACCAGAAGGACUGCUCCGAUGGGUCCGACGAGGCGCACUGCGAGUGUGGCUUGCAGCCUGCCUGGAGGAUGGCCGGCAGGAUCGUGGGCGGCACGGAAGCGUCCCCGGGGGAGUUUCCGUGGCAAGCCAGCCUUCGAGAGAACAAGGAGCACUUCUGUGGGGCCGCCAUCAUCAGCGCCAGGUGGCUGGUGUCUGCCGCUCACUGCUUCAAUGAGUUCCAAGACCCAACGGAAUGGGUGGCCUACGUGGGUGCGACCUACCUCAGCGGCUGGGAGGCCAGCACCGUGCGGGCCCGGGUGGCCCAGAUCGUCAAGCACCCCCUGUACAACGCGGACACGGCCGACUUCGACGUGGCGGUGCUGGAGCUGACCAGCCCUCUGCCUUUCGGUCGGCACAUCCAGCCCGUGUGCCUCCCGGCUGCCACACACAUCUUCCCACCCAGGAAGAAGUGCUUGAUCUCAGGCUGGGGCUACCUCAAGGAGGACUUCCUGGUCAAGCCAGAGGUGCUUCAGAAAGCCACUGUGGAGCUGCUGGACCAGGCACUGUGUGCCAGCCUGUACGGCCACUCACUCACUGACAGGAUGGUGUGUGCUGGCUACCUGGACGGGAAGGUGGACUCCUGCCAGGGUGACUCAGGAGGACCCCUGGUCUGCGAGGAGCCCUCUGGCCGGUUCUUUCUGGCUGGCAUCGUGAGCUGGGGAAUCGGGUGUGCGGAAGCCCGGCGUCCGGGGGUCUAUGCCCGAGUCACCAGGCUACGUGACUGGAUCCUGGAGGCCACCACCAAAGCCAGCAUGCCUCUGGUCCCCACGGUGGCGCCUGCCCCCGCCGCCCCCAGCACAGCCUGGCCCACCAGUCCUGAGAGCCCUGUGGUCAGCGCUCCCAACAAAUCCACGCAGGCCCCCAGCACUGUGCCUCUUGACUGGGUCACCGUUCCUAAGCUACAAGGUAUUUUCGGGGCAGAAAGGUAGAUGAUGUACGCUCCUAUCUUGGUUUAGGGAGAACUGAUAUCUUCAUAGUAUCUUUGUAAUUUUGGAUCUUCCUGUUCAAGGAAAGGUCACAUGUGUAUCCGUUUAUUCCCAUCUUAUGUUGUGUGUACCCUCAUGGUACGUUCUGUCCACAGGUCUUG
RNAcentral lists this small RNA (1606 nucleotides) under Pongo abelii (Sumatran orangutan). RNAcentral's name for it is "retained intron". Lineage: Eukaryota; Metazoa; Chordata; Mammalia; Primates; Hominidae. The record is from RNAcentral.